Molecule: ribosomal RNA, 460 nt
Filed under: uncultured bacterium
Lineage: Bacteria
Description: partial 16S ribosomal RNA
Rfam family: Bacterial small subunit ribosomal RNA
Source: RNAcentral
CCUCCUUUUGUCCGCCGUUCUUACUAUUUUUCCCUUUUCUCUCUCCUGCCCCCGCCCCGUCGCGUGAAGGAUGACUGCCCUACGGGUUGUAAACUUCUUUUAUAAAGGAAUAAAGUGAGGCACGUGUGCCUUUUUGUAUGUACUUUAUGAAUAAGGAUCGGCUAACUCCGUGCCAGCAGCCGCGGUAAUACGGAGGAUCCGAGCGUUAUCCGGAUUUAUUGGGUGUAAAGGGUGCGUAGACGGAGAAGCAAGUUAGUUGUGAAAUCCCUCGGCUUAACUGAGGAACUGCAACUAAAACUACUUCCCUUGAGUACUGGAGAGGAAAGUGGAAUUCCUAGUGUAGCGGUGAAAUGCGUAGAUAUUAGGAGGAACACCAGUGGCGAAGGCGACUUUCUGGACAGUAACUGACGUUGAGGCACGAAAGUGUGGGGAGCAAACAGGAUUAGAUACCCGGGUAGUC